UCACUUCAGGACAGCCAGGCAGCCACGGCAGCACAGCUGAAGACACCAAAGACACUCACGAGGACGGACCUCCAGAACCGCUUCAGAAAGUGGCAAGAACUAUGGGCAGGCCUUUCGGAAGAGUUCAAGAUUUGGCUAGCCUGGGAUGAAGUUCAUGACAUGUUAGUUGAGAAGAGGUAACCUGUGAUCAUCCAGUGCUGUCUGUGAAUCCAUUCCUAGCAUCUGAGUUGGUGGAGCACUUCUGGACAUCCGGUGAAAACUGACCCAGCUGCCUCUCUGGUCUUCCGCCUGGGUGUGGGGCAUCACACCUGUAUGGGACUCACCUGGCCAGGAGGCAAAUUCCUAGAAGAAUCAACGUUCUCCUCACCUUCAUGUCCCCAAGCAGGGCCUGGCCAGAAUAGAUGUGCACCUCCACUUGCUCAAUGAAUGAUGAUUCUACAUUGAACCCUUACUUUUCUGAGAAGAUGCUUAGAUGAGGAAAUCAUGUCCUGAGUCAAAUUUAAUGUCUAGAUUCAGUGUUGACCGAAUGGGGGAAUUUGAUUCAGCUGUCAUCCAGUUUGCACUGCAACUGGAAUCGUGGGGAGAAUUGAGUCUGUGAACCAAGCUACCACUGUAUUUCACAUCUACAACACAUAGGAGUUUCAUGAAAUCUAGUGGGAACUGGGAAUUUCCACUUGAGAAAACAUAGGAAAGACUUAGAUAAGAGAAUUGAAAACAUAAACUCUGGCAGGAACAAAGGUAUUUUUUUCUUUCUCCUUUACUAAAUUAGUACCACUUGGUUCAAGGACAAUAGAUCAUUUUUGCUAAGCUUAAAAUUUAUUAGAUUCUUUCUUCUUUUGUCAAACUUUAGAUGCAUGAUUUAAACAUAUUUCAUGGGGAAAACUGCACUGUUCUCUUCAUGUUGCUAUUUAUCCACGGAAAGCAAGGUGCUUUGCAAACACCCAUGGUACUUCACAAGAUUCCUGUUAAAUGAGUCAAUCCACUUUCCAUACUUUAGGGGGCAGAAAAUCUGAAACACAAGUGAAAAAAAUUUUUGUGCACAUAAGGCAUGCAUAACUGUGCUGAUACUAGAACAUAAAAUAUUUCACACCACCCUUCAGGGUUGAGCGCCUGAGCUCUGUUUCCCCAUCUGCACGCCCAAGCAGUCAUUUCAGUUACAUAAUUGUGGGUUAAGCCCUGCUUUAUGCAUCGAUCUGUAAUACACAUUGCAAAAGAUGCAGCGAUCCUCUAUGGUGCUCAGGCUUUAUGACCCACAUAUUGAAGAGCCUAGAGCAGAUUAGGAGAUAAAAACAAAUUCAAGAGCUAGCACAAAGCACUGUGAGAAGAACAGUGUGACUUAGUUGCAGCUAAAUGCUGGAUAAGUGAAUAGGGUAGAGCAGUUCUACGAGCUACACAAACCAGGAAGAAGGCAAAAGCAAGGAGGCCGAGGUGUCAGGGUUCGGAAGAUGAGGGUGGAUGGUAGUCAGCACAGUCCGUGCAGGAGAACGAGGCUAAAUGACGAGGUGGUACAUGGCUGAGGAGUGCGCGGAGGGCGGAAUUAACGAGCAAGUAGGGGAUGAAGCUUCGAGGAUGUAAGAAAAAUGAGGGGAGAGGACGGAAAGCUGAUUUGGAAACUAAGGCUUUUCCUGAUAGGUGACUUCAGUGGCAGAGAUAUCAGGGAAAGGGAAUAACAUUUGAAAAACUUUUUUAAAGUGAGUGAACCCUAGCCCUAACCCUAACCCUAA
Molecule: long non-coding RNA, 1724 nt
Organism: Chinchilla lanigera (long-tailed chinchilla)
Lineage: Eukaryota; Metazoa; Chordata; Mammalia; Rodentia; Chinchillidae
Exons: 3
Source: RefSeq, a predicted model, not a curated record